This 495-nucleotide ribosomal RNA is filed under the name uncultured bacterium. RNAcentral describes it as "partial 16S ribosomal RNA". It matches the Rfam family "Bacterial small subunit ribosomal RNA", at positions 28 to 505 of the family's 1533-position model. The record is from RNAcentral.
GAUGAACGCUGGCGGCGUGCCUAAUACAUGCAAGUCGAGCGAACGGACGAGAAGCUUGCUUUUCUGAUGUUAGCGGCGGACGGGUGAGUAACACGUGGAUAACCUACCUAUAAGACUGGGAUAACUUCGGGAAACCGGAGCUAAUACCGGAUAAUAUUUUGAACCGCAUGGUUCAAAAGUGAAAGACGGUCUUGCUGUCACUUAUAGAUGGAUCCGCGCUGCAUUAGCUAGUUGGUAAGGUAACGGCUUACCAAGGCAACGAUGCAUAGCCGACCUGAGAGGGUGAUCGGCAACACUGGAACUGAGACCCGGUCCAGACUCCUACGGGAGGCAGCAGUAGGGAAUCUUCCGCAAUGGGCGAAAGCCUGACGGAGCAACGCCGCGUGAGUGAUGAAGGUCUUCGGAUCGUAAAACUCUGUUAUUAGGGAAGAACAUAUGUGUAAGUAACUGUGCACAUCUUGACGGUACCUAAUCAGAAAGCCACGGCUAACUACG